Molecule: ribosomal RNA, 253 nt
Filed under: uncultured bacterium
Lineage: Bacteria
Description: partial 16S ribosomal RNA
Rfam family: Bacterial small subunit ribosomal RNA
Source: RNAcentral
UACGGAGGAUCCAAGCGUUAUCCGGAUUUAUUGGGUUUAAAGGGUGCGUAGGCGGAUCGAUAAGUUAGAGGUGAAAUGUCCGAGCUCAACUCGGGAACUGCCUCUAAUACUGUUGAUCUAGAGAGUAGAUGCGGUAGGCGGAAUGUAUGGUGUAGCGGUGAAAUGCUUAGAGAUCAUACAGAACACCGAUUGCGAAGGCAGCUUACCAAUCUAUAUCUGACGUUGAGGCACGAAAGCGUGGGGAGCAAACAGG